Molecule: ribosomal RNA, 255 nt
Filed under: uncultured bacterium
Lineage: Bacteria
Description: partial 16S ribosomal RNA
Rfam family: Bacterial small subunit ribosomal RNA
Source: RNAcentral
CGGACGGGUGAGUAACGCGUGGAAAACCUGCCGUAUACUGGGGGAUAACACUUAGAAAUAGGUGCUAAUACCGCAUAAGCGCACAGCUUCGCAUGGAGUGGUGUGAAAAACUCUGGUGGUAUACGAUGGUUCCGCGUCUGAUUAACUUGUUGGUGGGGUAAUGGCUCACCAAGGCGACGAUCAGUAGCCGGCCUGAGAGGGUGAACGGCCACAUUGGGACUGAGACACGGCCCAAACUCCUACGGAAGGCAGCAG